This 653-nucleotide ribosomal RNA is filed under the name Vibrio sp. a100. RNAcentral describes it as "bacterial SSU rRNA". It matches the Rfam family "Bacterial small subunit ribosomal RNA", at positions 311 to 957 of the family's 1533-position model. The record is from RNAcentral. Lineage: Bacteria; Pseudomonadati; Pseudomonadota; Gammaproteobacteria; Vibrionales; Vibrionaceae.
CACUGGACUGAGACACGGUCCAGACUCCUACGGGAGGCAGCAGUGGGGAAUAUUGCACAAUGGGCGCAAGCCUGAUGCAGCCAUGCCGCGUGUGUGAAGAAGGCCUUCGGGUUGUAAAGCACUUUCAGUCGUGAGGAAGGUAGUGUAGUUAAUAGCUGCAUUAUUUGACGUUAGCGACAGAAGAAGCACCGGCUAACUCCGUGCCAGCAGCCGCGGUAAUACGGAGGGUGCGAGCGUUAAUCGGAAUUACUGGGCGUAAAGCGCAUGCAGGUGGUUUGUUAAGUCAGAUGUGAAAGCCCGGGGCUCAACCUCGGAAUUGCAUUUGAAACUGGCAGACUAGAGUACUGUAGAGGGGGGUAGAAUUUCAGGUGUAGCGGUGAAAUGCGUAGAGAUCUGAAGGAAUACCGGUGGCGAAGGCGGCCCCCUGGACAGAUACUGACACUCAGAUGCGAAAGCGUGGGGAGCAAACAGGAUUAGAUACCCUGGUAGUCCACGCCGUAAACGAUGUCUACUUGGAGGUUGUGGCCUUGAGCCGUGGCUUUCGGAGCUAACGCGUUAAGUAGACCGCCUGGGGAGUACGGUCGCAAGAUUAAAACUCAAAUGAAUUGACGGGGGCCCGCACAAGCGGUGGAGCAUGUGGUUUAAUUCGAUGC